This 366-nucleotide ribosomal RNA is filed under the name Triticum aestivum (bread wheat). Its description in RNAcentral is "partial small subunit ribosomal RNA". The record is from RNAcentral. Lineage: Eukaryota; Viridiplantae; Streptophyta; Magnoliopsida; Poales; Poaceae.
AUCAUCGAAGAACUCCUUGACGAGCUCCAUGGUGCAGCAUGGUUCUCGAAGCUCGAUCUUCGUGCCAGAUAUCAUAAGAUCCGGUUGGCUCCAGGAGAGGAAUACAAGACCGCGUUCCAAACUCAUCAGGGCCACUUAGAAUUUAAAGUAGUUUCCUUUGGACUCGCGGGUGGACCCGCUACAUUCAUUGGAGCCAUCACAACGACCCUCAAGCCGCUCAACCGUGUCUGUGUGCUGUCCUUUUUCGACGACAUCCUUGUAUUCAGCAAAAGGUUGCAAGAACACAUCAAUCACUUGCGACAGGUGCUCACGCUGCUUCGCUGGGAUAGUUGGAAGGUUAAAUGCAGCAAGUGCGCCUUUGGGCAG